Molecule: small RNA, 755 nt
Filed under: Rattus norvegicus (Norway rat)
Lineage: Eukaryota; Metazoa; Chordata; Mammalia; Rodentia; Muridae
Description: uncharacterized LOC103692325
Source: RNAcentral
CUUGGGCGUCCAGAGCAUGAACCUCCACCUCCCGUUUUCUAGAACCCGACCUUCCUCUUAUCUGGGUCCUGAGCCCUUCCUUGCAAGACUCCUCUGACUGAAGCUAUCUAUCUGAGUGUGAUAUUAAGAAUCUUCCCGCCCAUGUCCUUGGAAAAAAGCUGUUCUCUCUCUUGCCCUCCAUAUAAAGGUCCUAAUCCCACAAGGGAAAAAGAAUAAGGAAGUAUGGCUGGACACUGUGUGAGGGCUCCUUCCUUCCCUGUCAUGGAUUAAACCCUAAUCAUCCAAAGUCAGGAGAAUUGAGAUGAGAAAUAUGCAUCUCCAACUGAGGCACAAAGGUUCCCGGAGGUAUACAGAUGGCUGAUGAGAGGGACAGGAAGAAAAGAAUAGAAAUUGGCCAGUUAAAGAAUCUUCACUUCAUAAGUGGGUUUGCACAGUAAUCGCUCAGACUGGCUAUUGUCAUUUCAUCAAGAAGUGAAGACAGCACGUUAGGUCGCAUCCUACUUCUCAGCUCCCAUUCUAAAAUCCUGGUACCACCUAAUCACCACCAGGAAGGAAACGCACAGUGUGGACCUGUGACUGUUGUUUUCCUCCUUAAUGUAUCCUUUGAUGCCACUUUUCUCGGCUGUUUGCCAGACCAAAUGUUCGUGCUGCCAUCAUAGUGGCCUCUGGGAAGAUGGGAAGUAUCCUUUCCCCUUCUCUAUUAAUCUCUGACACCAUUUCUCAUCGGGGGAGGUGUCUCUCUGUGUCCCAGGCUG